This 433-nucleotide long non-coding RNA is filed under the name Amborella trichopoda. RNAcentral's name for it is "long non-coding RNA (ATRI_LNC003802)". The record is from RNAcentral. Lineage: Eukaryota; Viridiplantae; Streptophyta; Magnoliopsida; Amborellales; Amborellaceae.
GGUGCUUUUGAAUUUUUUAUCUGAUUUACUGUGAUACACAGGAAGAAGCAUUAUCAAUCAAGCAAAAAAUAAAUAAGGAAAUGCAUAAAUAAAUAAAAAUAAAUGGAUGAGUUUUUGAUAAGCCAGGGCUUCAUGAAACUUUUUUUCUUUUUUGGGUAUAUCAAAUGGGAGAACAAGCGCCUACCAAUUUUUUGAAAUAGUUAGUGGUUUUCAAAUGCGUAAGUACGAAUGAAACCUAAACCAGUAACUGAGACUCCGGUGGUACUACCACCACGACCUCAACCCCAUUCCCAGGUCAUUAAACUGGAGAGGGCCUCACCUCAAAAUGGUGUACUAGAAAUUAGAUGCAACACUUGAGAACCUUGUGAUGUUCUACAGAUCAAUUGCUGCCCCUAGCUGUGGAUUUUGGAACUCCAAAAAAUAGUGCAAAUCU